This 253-nucleotide ribosomal RNA is filed under the name uncultured bacterium. RNAcentral's name for it is "partial 16S ribosomal RNA". It matches the Rfam family "Bacterial small subunit ribosomal RNA", at positions 524 to 776 of the family's 1533-position model. The record is from RNAcentral.
UACAGAGGCCUCGAGCGUUAGGCGGAAUCACUGGGCUUAAAGCGUGUGUAGGCGGAUGCCUAAGUACCUUGUGAAAUCCCACGGCUCACCCGUGGAACGGCUCGGUAUACUGGGCGUCUUGAGCCACCUAGGGGCUACCGGAACAAAUGGUGGAGCGGUGAAAUGCGUAGAUAUCAUUUGGAACGCCAACGGAGAAAUCAGGUAGCUGGGGGUGUGCUGACGCUGAGACACGAAAGCCAGGGGAGCGAACGGG